GAUGAAGAACGUAGCGAAAUGCGAUAAGUAAUGUGAAUUGCAGAAUUCAGUGAAUCAUCGAAUCUUUGAACGCACAUUGCGCCCGCCAGUAUUCUGGCGGGCAUGCCUGUCUGAGCGUCAUUUCAACCCUCAUGCCCCUAGGGCGUGGUGUUGGGGAUCGGCCAAAGCCCGCGAGGGACGGCCGGCCCCUAAAUCUAGUGGCGGACCCGUCGUGGCCUCCUCUGCGAAGUAGUGAUAUUCCGCAUCGGAGAGCGAUGAGACCCUGCCGUUAAACCCCCAACUUUCCAAGGUUGACCUCAGAUCAGGUAGGAAUACCCGCUGAACUUAAGCAUAUCAAUAAGCGGAGGA
RNAcentral lists this unclassified non-coding RNA (348 nucleotides) under soil metagenome. Its description in RNAcentral is "partial contains 5.8S ribosomal RNA, internal transcribed spacer 2, and large subunit ribosomal RNA". The stretch from base 1 to 120 matches the Rfam family "5.8S ribosomal RNA", at positions 35 to 154 of the family's 154-position model. The record is from RNAcentral.